GAUGAACGCUAGCGACAGGCUUAACACAUGCAAGUCGAGGGGUAACAGGGGAGCUUGCUCCCGCUGACGACCGGCGCACGGGUGCGUAACGCGUAUACAACCUGCCUCAAAGCGAGGGAUAACCCAGAGAAGUUUGGACUAAUACCUCAUAGUAUAUAUUAGAGGCAUCUUUGAUAUAUUAAAGAUUUAUUGCUUUGAGAUGGGUAUGCGUAUGAUUAGCUAGUUGGUAAGGUAACGGCUUACCAAGGCUACGAUCAUUAGGGGUUCUGAGAGGAAGGUCCCCCACACUGGUACUGAGACACGGACCAGACUCCUACGGGAGGCAGCAGUGAGGAAUAUUGGUCAAUGGGCGAGAGCCUGAACCAGCCAAGUCGCGUGAAGGAAGACGGUCCUAUGGAUUGUAAACUUCUUUUGUACAGGAGUAAAGUGAGUUACGAGUAACUUUUUGCAAGUACUGUACGAAUAAGCAUCGGCUAACUCCGUGCCAGCAGCCGCGGUAAUACGGAGGAUGCGAGCGUUAUCCGGAUUUAUUGGGUUUAAAGGGUGCGCAGGCGGUAUUACAAGUCAGAGGUGAAAUCUUGGUGCUUAACAUUAAAAUUGCCUUUGAAACUGUAGUACUUGAGUGUAAAAGAGGUAGGCGGAAUGUGUUGUGUAGCGGUGAAAUGCUUAGAUAUAACACAGAACACCGAUUGCGAAUGCAGCUUACUAUAAUACAACUGACGCUCAUGCACGAAAGCGUGGGGAUCAAACAAG
Molecule: ribosomal RNA, 753 nt
Filed under: uncultured bacterium
Lineage: Bacteria
Description: bacterial SSU rRNA
Rfam family: Bacterial small subunit ribosomal RNA
Source: RNAcentral